CAAUUUGGAAUUUCAUCUGAAGACACUUUCCACUUGUGACAACCUUUUUACUUGCUGAAUGACAUCUAUGUCCUCGGCUAAUAGAAAAGGAAAAAAAUCAAACCGGGUCCGAGCCUUCCAAUUUACUUUUUGUACCAAACCCUUCUUUUACCAAUUUCCAAACCAUAGUUUCUAAGAACCCUAGAUUCUAGCAAAUUGUUCUUCACACUCCCUUCUUGCAGUUUCUCCUCUAAAACACCGACUAGUCUGAAUCAUCAACCAGAAACAAACCCUUCUCUUUCGGAAUUCUAGUUACCAAAUUUCCAAAUUGAAAAAAACUUAUCAACGCUUCUUCGAUUCUCCUCUCCUCUGUUACUCACAGAGUUGCUUUGCUUUAGAGAGUUGAUGAGCUCGGGAUUCGAAGUGGGUGAGCUCGGGAUCCACCGUGGAUUAGCUUGAGAUAGCUACGGUGUUGUUUUAUAGAGUGGAUGAGCUCAAGAUUCGCUAUGGAUGAGUUCAUGAUUUGCUGUGUGUGAGUUCGGGAUCCGCCAUGGGUGAACUCGGGAUAGCUGUGGUGGAAUUUCAGAGAGUGGAUGAGCUUCAAGGUUGUUAUCUCUGAUUUCCUUUGUCCACGAAUCUUUGUCCACACAACCUUAACGACAGCUGUGGCGACGAAGCUGUUUUCUCCUUCGUUGUCUUGUCAAUGGAUGAGAUAUAGUAAUCAAAGGGUGGAGACGAGCCUGUGUGACGAAACGAAACAGAGUCUCCCCUGUCACCGCCAUGGUUGUGGAGCCUCUCAAUGCUGCCAUUCAGAUUCAUCAAUGGUGGGAACAUAACCCUAGUUCAUUACUGAUAAUGGUAGAGAGCGGGAGACUAGUUACUCGUUGGCUAGCUACUACACAUAUCAUUGGGUUUGUUUGUUAUUUCAGUUACCAGACUUUGGUCUCUCGUUAAAAGCUCCGUUAAAUCAAAGAUAGUGGGGUAGACCUUUGUUUUUAGCGAAGGAGAAGGAGCAAGGAGCUAAAGAAAGUUGCUGGAGAAGUUCUCUCUUUUUUUCACAAGGAAGAACUUCAACAUCACUGAUGGUGAAGAAACAAUCAUGUAAGCUCAUUUAGAAGAAAAUUUCAAAUUUUUGAUGUAGGUUUUAGUUUAGUAGGCCAUGUUCACACAUUUUUUUGCAAAACCUUAUCCACAAUAUAUUUUAUACAUCUUGUCCACAGUAAUUUGAAGAGAUGUUUAACUAAGCCAUGUUUACACAUUUUUUCACAAAACCUUGUCCACAAUACAUUUUAUACAUCUUGUCCACAAUACCUUGAGAUGUUUCACUUGAUUGACAGCUUAAUGAAGAUAAAGAGAUGACUUGACUUA
Molecule: long non-coding RNA, 1347 nt
Organism: Brassica napus (rape)
Lineage: Eukaryota; Viridiplantae; Streptophyta; Magnoliopsida; Brassicales; Brassicaceae
Exons: 2
Source: RefSeq, a predicted model, not a curated record